AAAAUUUUAUCGUCUUCUCCGAAGCCGAGCGAGCCAAAACGACGAUGCAGAGCGCCACUUCGCUUCUCUGUUUUUCAACACUUACACCUUCUUAUCACUCUCUUCUGUUUCCUUUACGUCCCAGAUUUUCUUCCAUGGUCUUACCUUCAUUGCCUUCACAAUUGCUCUUCAAGCCUCUCCAUAGUUGCCUUUAUGCCCUCUCUUCUCUACGCAGCACCGCUACUCAAGAGAUUGUUCAAACUGCUAAUAGUGGAGCAGGAAUCGUUGAAGUUGGGUAUAUAUCCAGUGUUCAUGGGCUUCAAGGGGAGAUAUGCGUUAAACCCAGUACUGAUGUUCCCGAACUACGAUUUUCCAAGCCUGGGAAAAGAUGGCUCAGUCGGUUUCUGGCAAAGAUAUGAUUCAAGAAGUUGAGCUGGUUGAGUGAAGAGGGCACCCUGGACUGAAGAGGUGGGGUAAUUGACACAGUGGAACAGGCCAGGCAACUUGUUGGGUCGACUCUUCCAGUUGGAGAAGAAGAUAGGCCAGAGUUGGAAGGAGAAUUUUGCACUCGUGAUCUCGUUGGCUUGAGAGUGAUUCUUAAGUUUUGAACAUUUUAAGGCAUCAUAUCUUGUAUUCAGCUAAGCAAAUUUAUUUUACUUUGUGCUUUUAAAUAUCUGAAACUCCUUAAAUUUAUGAUUUAUACUUGCACUCAUUUUUUAUUUGGGAUGCAAAGAACUUAUACUGUGCGGUAUUUGAAGACCACUGUCUUUAUUCUUCUCUUGUUACUUAACAGUCUCAGUUGCCAUUUUCAUGCACAGCUAUUAAUGUAUUCUGGUUAUCAGUGGUUUACAUUCUGCUUCUCUUCUUCUUAAAUAAAGAAACUGGUGACUGUGUGGGAACUGCCCUUAAUGUUUUUGACAGUGGAGCAAGUGAUCUUUUACAGGUCAUGCUCUACCCAUCUGUAGAUGUGCUUGAGGGAGCUGAGAGGUCAAUGCAAGCAGAAACAGGUCCAUCUGGUUCCCUUGUGUAGGCACCAUUUGUUGAAGCUAUUGUUCCGGAUGUUGAUAUGACUAGAAGAGAAAUGUGGAUUACACCUCCAAAAGGACUUCUUGAGUUAAACAUAUGCUCUGAUGAGAGGUCUAAGAAAGAAAGACGCCAUCUUGAGUGGAAAGAAAGGAAAAAGUUGCAAAGAUGCCUUAUAUAAGCGAAAAAGAAAUUUUUUGAAAUGGAACAAAACAUGUGUUUGAUGGAUUAAGAUAUGGGGAAAAAUCACAAAGGAGCUUACUGGCAGAUCAGAUUGUUGGUGUAAAUUCUAAAUUGCUUCAACGGGCAUUGCAAAAUAUAGAGAUGCCCUCCAAGAGGUAUUUUUUAAAAUUUAAUAAAUGUGUAUUUCUUGACAUUUUGAUUCCUAGAGGAGUUGGAGAAAAUGUGAAUGCAGUUGUUUGACCUUUCGAUCUGAUGCUGUUUUGAACCUGUUGAAAUAAACUUGUUCUGUAAAGCAUUGAACUUGUAACCUUCGUCCGUGAUGUUGAAAUGUAGAAAAAAUAUGAUGCCCCUGGUUUCAAUAUGUGUUGCAUACAUAAAUGCUUUUUUUUGAAGUGGGAGCUUAAAAGAAAAAAAAAAGAAACUUUUUCUUAAAAACAGCUGGUCUUAUUGUCUCAUUUGUUCUACGGUGGAUAUGAAGAAUAUGGAAGGUGGUGAGAUCUUUUUUAUUUGAUCCCAUAUAGCUAAUGCUUACUUAUUCAUCCUUUUUGGUGGUUUGGGUG
Hevea brasiliensis (rubber tree) is the source of this 1745-nucleotide long non-coding RNA. RefSeq lists it as uncharacterized. The record is from RefSeq and is a predicted model, not a curated record. Lineage: Eukaryota; Viridiplantae; Streptophyta; Magnoliopsida; Malpighiales; Euphorbiaceae. The transcript has 6 exons.